Molecule: long non-coding RNA, 339 nt
Filed under: Vigna radiata
Lineage: Eukaryota; Viridiplantae; Streptophyta; Magnoliopsida; Fabales; Fabaceae
Description: long non-coding RNA (VRAD_LNC006703)
Source: RNAcentral
GGUGUUAUAUCUUUGCUUAGUUGAUGUAACUGAAUGGUGUAAUUUAGAUUUGAUAUUAACACUGCGUUCGCUUAGUUCGCUUUUAUGAAAACAGGGUUAACCUUCGUUUAGUUGGUUAACUUUGUUGGAUUAGAGGUUUGAGUCAUAACUUUAUUUUGUUGAUUUGUGACUGGAAACAUUGUAAUUAAGUUAAUGACCAACCAUUUUUAUUCUGUAUGUGAUUUUGUUUUGCAAUUCUAUUUUUACAUUUCUGUUUGCAUCCUUCCUUUGAUUUAAUUCGUCCACAUUCACAAACUUUUCACACCCCCCCCCACUUCGUGUUUGACCUAAGACUUGUAC